Non-coding RNA from Acanthosepion pharaonis, 112 nucleotides. NCBI's taxonomy places the organism in Eukaryota, Metazoa, Mollusca, Cephalopoda, Sepiida, Sepiidae. The record is from the annotation of a GenBank genome assembly.
AUGACCACAUCACAUUGAAACACUGGUUUCCUCAUGAUCACUAAAGUUAAGCAAUGUUGAGCCUGGUCAGGAGCUUGAUGGGUGACCACUUGGGAAUACCAGAUGUUGUAAG